This 119-nucleotide ribosomal RNA is filed under the name Solanum lycopersicum (tomato). Lineage: Eukaryota; Viridiplantae; Streptophyta; Magnoliopsida; Solanales; Solanaceae. The record is from RNAcentral.
GGAUGCGAUUAUACCAGCAUUAACACAUCAGGAUCUCAUCAGAACUCCGAAGCCAAGUGUGCUUGGGUGAGAGUAAUACUACGACGGGUGACCCCUGGGAAGUCCUGGUGUUGUAUCCC